Non-coding RNA from Aegilops tauschii subsp. strangulata, 2006 nucleotides. The record is from RefSeq and is a predicted model, not a curated record. NCBI's taxonomy places the organism in Eukaryota, Viridiplantae, Streptophyta, Magnoliopsida, Poales, Poaceae.
GCCCUCUGGUUACCUUCCUCGUCCUCAUCAACUCCCUCCUCCUCAAGUACUACUGCGUAGCCUCCGGCCGAGCCCCUCUGCUCGACUACCAGCGCCGCGGCUGUGCCACCGGCCUGAGCCCGAGGGCAACGGCGACGGCCGCGGUGAUCUCGCCGGUGGGCGGCGGCCUGGUCCACGACCACGUGACAUCAGCCGUCGCCCUAGGUGGUUGCCCGCGGCCUCCUCCGCUUCUUCGAGGAGCUCGGCAAGCGCAGCGCCUGCGAGCAGGUCAGUCAGCGCCCUUCGUCCCCUCCACUGUCCCCAAGUGUACCGUACCCAGUCUCCACGGUCACGCGCUCAUCCUGCUCGCAAGAGCAGCAAACCUGUACGUAUAUCACAAAGGGAAAAUUUGGGGCCAAGGUCAAGAAGGAGACGGUUUUCUUUUGUUGCCCAGUCCAGUACAACCAGCAAAAAGCUAGAUGUCUCGAGAUAGGAAUUGGAUGGUACCAAUCAUUAUUCUUGCCCAAGUCUAGGGGGAGAAGAUUGAUUCUGGCUGGUACCAUCACAUCUGAGGUGUCAAGUUCUAUAGGAGGAUCUUCUAUUGCAUCAAGAGAAGACGCCAUCUUGGCACACUGGAAACUACGCAGCAAGCAUCUGGUUGUUACUAAUUUGACUGAUGUGGUGGUGUAAUAAUUCAAGUCGUGCAUGACGGUCUGCUAAUUUCCUUGAUGCUUCAUCAGGUUUUGGAAGAAUUGGGCUAAGGGGUGAUUGCGCUCAGGUUUUGAUGCAGGUUCUUUUGAAAUCUGAAACUUUGGUUUGGUAUGAUAGACAAUGCUAUUAAUAUUUGAACAGACAAUAUAGUUAGGUUUGGUUUGGUUUGAACAGACAAUGCUAUUAAACUUUGGUUUGGUUUGGUAUGAUCAUGGGGCCGGCGGCUAAAGCACUUAGGCAUGGUGGCGGAGGCGAUGUACAUGGGCGUGUCUGCUAAGCAGGCCACUGCGUGGGUGGCGAAGUGAUGCGGUGAGGUUAGCAUCUGUAGGAACCCCUGCUGGUCGAGACCCCAGUGUGCGGAGGAGACUCCGGUUUUCUAGGGUAUGUUUUGGGCUGUUUCUUUGUUGAUAUCUUCCCUCCUGGGCUUUGAUUUGGUUCCCAUAAUGGAUAAUUCUAAAUGCGCGGAUGAUUACAGAGGGUUCACGGGCCUAUCUACACUAAUUAUCUCUGCCCCCUGAUUUUCAGGGGGUGUGGCCCGUCGCCCUCUCUAAUCUCCAAUCAAACACUGCGAGCUAGCACCAUUCCGUAAAGUUUGCUAGACAGCUGCAGGCUUGCACCAUCUAAAGAGGAGGAUCUCAGAUGUAGAUACGACGGAGCAAAUUUUGUUUUGUGGUUGCAGCAUAGCCUCGGUUGACGAAGCACUACAUGGCUUUGAUCACUCGAAACACCCAAAUACAAUAUGAUGGUUCGUCCUUGCAAUAUGGAGCUACCCACUCCAAAUUCAGUAAGUUGGAAGCACUGACACGCCCUCGCUAGAGCUGCUCUGUUUGAAUCUGCCCAGAUCUUCGUGAGAACGAUUCUAAAAACAAUGGCGGCGCACCGUGAUUUGCCUCCUCCUAGCUACUGUAAGGUAGAUGGAGAUGGGCAUGUCCUUGCUGGGGUAGAAAUUGAAGUUCCUGGGAGCGAUGUCUUGCCAAUGCCGCAGAUAAAAAAAAUUGGGCCUCUACGAGCCACACCCGCCUCGUGACCUAGCACUGUUGUACCCGAGCCUUUUAGCGUCAGUGUCUUCUGUUUAGUUGUGAGAGGUGCUCUUAUUGCCUUAUCCAUGUUUAGUGGUCACGUACUGCCCACGUUUAUUUACUUGCUUCAUGAUGGUAGUUCGAAUAAUCUCUGUGUCUUUAGCCUAUUUGGUUUUAUGUUUUUUAGUUCUCGCUUACCUAUGACGAUCGUAGGUGUUGUGGAUUUACCAAAGAUUGUCUAUCUUAGGUGUUCUGUAUGAUGUUUCUUUCUAUGACGCUUUACCUAUUCUUUCUUAA